CCUACGGGAGGCAGCAGUGGGGGAUAUUGCACAAUGGGGGAAACCCUGAUGCAGCGACGCCGCGUGAGUGAAGAAGUAUUUCGGUAUGUAAAGCUCUAUCAGCAGGGAAGAAAAUGACAGUACCUGACCAAGAAGCCCCGGCUAACUACGUGCCAGCAGCCGCGGUAAUACGUAGGUGGCAAGCGUUGUCCGGAUUUACUGGGUGUAAAGGGCGUGCAGCCGGGAAGACAAGUCAGAUGUGAAAUCCCGGGGCUCAACCGCGGAACUGCAUUUGAAACUGUUUCUCUUGAGUACCGGAGAGGUCAGCGGAAUGCCUGGUGUAGCGGUGAAAUGCGUAGAUAUAAGGAAGAACACCAGUGGCGAAGGCGGAUGACUGGACGGCAACUGACGGUGAGGCGCGAAAGCGUGGGGAGCAAACAGGAUUAGAUACCCGGGUAGUC
RNAcentral lists this ribosomal RNA (440 nucleotides) under uncultured bacterium. RNAcentral describes it as "partial 16S ribosomal RNA". It matches the Rfam family "Bacterial small subunit ribosomal RNA", at positions 338 to 795 of the family's 1533-position model. The record is from RNAcentral.